RNAcentral lists this small RNA (98 nucleotides) under Sinorhizobium meliloti 2011. RNAcentral's name for it is "putative ncRNA". Lineage: Bacteria; Pseudomonadati; Pseudomonadota; Alphaproteobacteria; Hyphomicrobiales; Rhizobiaceae. The record is from RNAcentral.
GCAAACGCUGCUGCCAGCAGCAGAUCAACGACGGCAUUGUGGAAACGCAGCAUAGCGUGGUGGAACUGCACGAUGAUCAGAUUUUCGUCGUUGCGCGG